GGAUCAGUAGCAAUGCUGUUAGCGUCCGGAUAACAAUGACUUCAUUUUUGAGCUGAAAUAUGGGGUUAAGUCCUUCAACUUAUCGUCGGUUUCUGAGUCUGCUUCUGGGUCAUCUACUUCCUUGUGUCACCAACAUGCCAUUUAACUAGAUAUCAAGCCAAGAACGGAUUGAUGCACAUCACUGACCCUCAAUAUUUCCUUAAUUUUCCAAUUCACAUAAGAUUUGUGGGUUUGCGGAGUGGUUAAAAGCCCGCCCGGACACACCUUUAACACCGACCGCCUCGUGGAAUCAGCCGUAUGAUGGAUUGAGACAGCGCUGAGGUGGUGACUGCCAUCUGGGAGGGUGCGAUACAGAGGCGAGUGAUUGACUGGGAUUUAGUGGAGACGGGCUGGACUGUGUGGCCUGACAGGAACUGAUAGCCUCGCCAUCAUCAUUCUGAGUCACAAUGACAGGGGCGGUCUGAACUCUGUCUGUGAGGUCAGAAUUGGCAGGCGACAGAUUAUAGACAGCUAUACUAAGUGCAUGCAGGAUAUUUCAAUAACUUUUUGUUAUGAUUUUAGCUGGGGAAAAGUUUCUUUUUAGUUUCACAUGAUCAAACUUGGAAUAUUUAAAUAAGUGAAAAAUGAGUUAUUUUGACUUUUUAUAAUAAUUGUAAUUGAAUAUUUCUAUGUAUAGACUUUAAUAACAUCAGUUAUUAUCGUCUCAGUGAUGUCACUCGGUCACUGAAGAGGAUGAUGGCAGUCAACAUGUUAGAAAUGUUAUCUCUAUUAGAGGUGCUGGAAAACAUUUAAUUCAUGUUAGAACCUCAGAUAUUAAUUUCUGUUAUUCUGAAUUUUAAAAGUACUUGACUUCAUCCUGAAUCUCUUUUCAACAGAGACGAGUUUUAGCAUCACAGUGCUGAUAUUUUCAACUUAAUUUUCCACUGGAAUUAUGUAGACCUGACUCAUUAACUGUGCUGAUAGUCAUUUUUCUGUGUGCAUAUUCUGGUUGAUAACCACACAUAGCACACAGAAAAAAUAGGCAAGUCCUCUAUUCCCUAGGAUCUCCAUAUGUGGGAGGUGAGAACCAGGUGCGUGAGACAUGAUGCUCCAGCAGUCAGGCAGUCUGAAAGUUUCACAAUGAACUAUUUUGCAACUUAAGCGCAAAUAAAUGUCUUUAUUUUA
Molecule: long non-coding RNA, 1164 nt
Organism: Cheilinus undulatus (humphead wrasse)
Lineage: Eukaryota; Metazoa; Chordata; Actinopteri; Labriformes; Labridae
Exons: 4
Source: RefSeq, a predicted model, not a curated record